CUGGCGGCGAGUGGCGGACGGGUGAGUAAUGCAUAGGAAUCUGCCCAGUAGCGGGGGACAACUUAGGGAAACUUAAGCUAAUACCGCAUACGCCCUACGGGGGAAAGCAGGGGAUCUUCGGACCUUGCACUAUUGGAAGAGCUUGCGUUAGAUUAGCUAGUUGGUGGGGUAAAGGCUCACCAAGGCGACGAUCUAUAGCUGGUCUGAGAGGAUGAUCAGCCACACUGGGACUGAGACACGGCCCAGACUCC
This 251-nucleotide ribosomal RNA is filed under the name uncultured bacterium. RNAcentral's name for it is "partial 16S ribosomal RNA". It matches the Rfam family "Bacterial small subunit ribosomal RNA", at positions 85 to 339 of the family's 1533-position model. The record is from RNAcentral.